RNA transcript from Ipomoea triloba (trilobed morning glory), 3678 nucleotides. RefSeq lists it as uncharacterized. The record is from RefSeq and is a predicted model, not a curated record. The transcript has 4 exons. NCBI's taxonomy places the organism in Eukaryota, Viridiplantae, Streptophyta, Magnoliopsida, Solanales, Convolvulaceae.
GCGUGUCGAACGUUAAUGUUUCUGUCAGGACCUUCGCAGCCGCUCAUCAUUCUCUCUCUCUCUCUCUAAAGCUCCAGUCUUGGCAGUCUUGAAGAGCUCCAUCGCUCCCUUUCUCUUUCCUCCCCUUUUAUCUCUCUAGAAUUUUACUCACCCACUCUCUCUCUCGAGUGUGUCGUUGCAUUGGCUCCUAAAAGUUGCGAAAUUUCCUACACAGAAACAAACAGCUCACCCCACUACUGAGGCGGAGGACCACCUACCAUCAAAGCUUUAUUUUUGAUGGACCACCGCCGUGCACGGCGGCCUCCGGCGAGAUUUCCGGGCUGAAAAUCACUUUCCCAGAUUGCUACCGUGCCUUAAUUAUUGAUUUUCUUGGAGUUUUUUGAAGUUAUGGCGGCGGAGGCGAAUAGCAACACGGCGGCGCUGGUGGAGGCCGGCGGCGGAGCCGCCGGGGGGUUGACGGAGGAGCUGGCGGCGAAGGCGGUGCUUAAGAGAUACGAGGGAUUGAUGAUUGUACGGACGAAAGCGGUGAAGGGGAAAGGCGCGUGGUACUGGGCUCACCUUGAGCCCAUGCUGGUCCACAAUUCCGAUUCCGGGUUGCCCAAAGCCGUUAAGCUCCGGUGUUCGUUAUGCGACGCCGUGUUUUCCGCUUCUAAUCCUUCUAGAACCGCCUCCGAGCAUCUAAAGAGAGGAACUUGCCCCAAUUUCAACACCCUCGUCAAACCCAUUUCUUCUCUCCCGCCGGCGCCCCACCAACAGAAUCACCGGAAACGGAACUCCCCCGGCGGCGAUAGUGGCAGCCCGGCUUCUACGGCGGCAUAUCAAGUUACUCCGCUUGCUAUUGUUGAUCCAUCAAGAUUCGCCGUGGAGUUAGCUUACCCGCCGGUGGUGUCAAUGGCCACCGCUAUUGUUGCCACCGGUGGUGCCGCCGCCGCCGCCGGAGGCGGCGGCGGCGGCAUGUAUGGGCAGCACCCUAUGGUGUUGUCAGGUGGAAAGGAGGAUUUGGGGGCUCUAGCCAAGCUAGAAGAUAGUGUGAAGAAGCUAAAGAGUCCAAAAUCAUCGCCCGGGCCAGCUUUGAGCAAGUCCCAGAUUGAUUCAGCCUUUGAUUAUCUUGCAGAUUGGGUGUAUGAAUGUUGUGGGUCAGUCUCAAUUUCCAGUCUUGACCACCCAAAAUUCAGGGCAUUUCUCACCCAAGUUGGGCUGCCCUCAAUUUCAAGAAAAGAGUUUGCAGGUUCCAGGUUGGAUGCCAAGUACGAGGAGGCCAAGGUUGAGUCCGAGGCAAGAAUCCGAGACGCCAUGUUCUUUCAGGUUGCAGGUGAUGGUUGGAUGGCCAAGAAGCAUGGGCAUGUUGGGGAAGAGAAUUUGGUGAGUUUGUAUGUGAAUCUUCCCAAUGGGACAAGUGUGUUUAGGAGGACAGUUUUCACUAGUGGAUUUGUUCCUUCUAAGUAUGCCGAGGAGGUUUUAUGGGACACAAUCACAGACAUUUGUGGCAGCAAUAGUGUUCAACAAUGUAUAGGGAUAGUUGCAGACAGGUUUAAGGGCAAGGCAUUGAGGAAUUUGGAGAAUCAGCACCAUUGGAUGGUCAAUCUUUCUUGUCAGUAUCAAGCAUUCAAUAGUUUGGUUAAGGAUUUCGGCAAGGAGCUUCCGUUUUUCAAGAAUGUGACCGAGAAUUGUGUAAAGCUCGCGAAUUUCGUGAACAAUAAGUCCCAGAUUCGGAAUAGUUUCCACAAGUAUCAGUUGCAGGAGUAUGGGCAUGCUGGGCUGUUGAGGGUGCCCUUGCCAGGCUACGAAAGCUCGGAUUUUGGACCCGUUUAUUCGUUGAUCGAGGAUAUACUUAGCUCAGCUCGGGCACUUCAGCUAGUGUUGCUGGAUGAAUCAUAUAAGGUAGUUUCAGUUGAGGAACCGUUUGCUAGGGAGAUUGAAGAGAUGAUGAGGAAUCCGCGUUUCUGGAAUGAAUUGGAGGCGAUGCAUUCGUUAGUUAAAUUGAUCAAGACGAUGGCACGGGAUAUUGAGACGGAGAAACCACGAGUAGGGCAAUGCCUUCCUCUAUGGGAGGAGCUUAGAGUGAAAGUGAAGGAUUGGUGUUCUAAGUUUCACAUUGCCGAGGGACCUGUGGAGAAAUUGGUUGAAAGGAGGUUCGAGAAGAAUUAUCACCCGGCUUGGGCUGCUGCAUUUAUACUCGAUCCACUCUAUUUGAUUCGAGACACUAGUGGAAAGUACUUGCCACCGUUCAAAUACCUUACCCCCGAGCAAGAGAAGGACGUGGACAAGCUCAUAACACGUCUUGUAUCUCGGGACGAGGCUCAUAUCGCUUUGAUGGAGCUUAUGAAAUGGAGAACUGAAGGGCUCGAGCCGGUUUAUGCUCAAGCUGUUCAGUUGAAGCAGAGGGAUCCUAGCACGGGAAAGAUGAAAAUCGCGAACCCUCAGAGUAGUAGGCUUGUUUGGGAAACUUACCUCACGGGGUUCAAGUCGUUAGGCAAAGUUGCUGUUAGGCUUAUCUUCCUUCAUGCUACCUCGUGCGGGUUUAAAUGCAACUGGUCUUUCCUGAGAUGGGCGGGGGCUCAAUCCCAUUCGAGGGUGGGUGUGGACCGAGCUCAGAAGUUGAUAUUCAUUGCUGCUCACUCGAAGCUCGAAAAGCGGGAUUAUUCCAAUGAUGAGGACAAAGAUGCCGAGCUCUUUGCCCUGGCAAACGGUGAGGAUGAUGUGCUCAAUGAGGUGCUGUAGAGCUUCCUUGAGACUUUACGGUUACAUUAGCUUAAACGUUGGCGUUGAAAUGCACGUGCCAUCACGAUUCAAUCAACGAGACACCUGAAACUCGAGAUGAGGUAUUGGAUAAGGAGCCGAGAAAGACAUUGCCGAAACACCAUGAAAUGCAUAGUUGGUGGAAAAGCUCGUGAGGCUGUAAUUGGAUGGUUUUAUAUGCAAAAGGAUCCAACAAAAGGACACGAUUCAAAUUUCCCGGAAGGCAAACUAGGUUUGGCUAUCCCGGGGGACCUAGCCCGAGGAAAUUUAACGAAAUCUUUAUAGCUGGAAGAGCACUUCACAACUGCUAAUAUCGCAUUCCUAUUAUUCUGGUAUAUGUGUCUUUGGGGCAGUGGCGUCCCACCACGGGAGCUAGUGGAAGUCUUUUUCGAAAUUUUGGUUGUUAAGUUAAAACAAUCUUAUGCUUACUUCUGCUUUAAAACAUUUCAAAAACUUGUGAUGUUCAUGCAGAGAGUCCACUGGAUGAUGAUGCUUCCCAUGAUUGCGAAAAAAGGUUGAGAGGACCCAAAGUGAAAGAACACUGUCGGUAUGAAGCAACACAAAAGAUGCUUGAUAGCGAUUUGGCAACGCAGAUUGACUAAUGUUUGCUGAUUCCUGCAGAUAGCUUUGAGAAGUGGAAAUCCAUCAUUACCAGAGGGGAGGGAGGAGGCAUGGUGGUAGCAGAAGUAAAAGAAGGCUCCUUUACAACUUUUUCCAUGGUAAAAAAGAUGAGUAAAAGUGGUUUCUGCCAUUUUCACCACUGCAAACAAUAAUGGUGGAAAUGUUGUUUUUUUUUUUUAAUCUUAGUUUUGUAAAUGGAUGGUACAAUGUAGAGAAAAUGGGUAUUAUUUUUCUUCCAAGAAAGGAAAAACCAGCUUGCAUGGUUUCUUGUACUGUUUGUUUCACCCAUUCCCUUUAUCAGCAAAAACAUUUCAAGAA